RNAcentral lists this transfer RNA (73 nucleotides) under Planctomycetota bacterium. Its description in RNAcentral is "Planctomycetes bacterium tRNA-Thr". It matches the Rfam family "tRNA". From Rfam's summary of the family: Transfer RNA (tRNA) molecules are approximately 80 nucleotides in length. Their secondary structure includes four short double-helical elements and three loops (D, anti-codon, and T loops). Further hydrogen bonds mediate the characteristic L-shaped molecular structure. tRNAs have two regions of fundamental functional importance: the anti-codon, which is responsible for specific mRNA codon recognition, and the 3' end, to which the tRNAs corresponding amino acid is attached (by aminoacyl-tRNA synthetases). tRNAs cope with the degeneracy of the genetic code in two manners: having more than one tRNA (with a specific anti-codon) for a particular amino acid; and 'wobble' base-pairing, i.e. permitting non-standard base-pairing at the 3rd anti-codon position. Lineage: Bacteria; Pseudomonadati; Planctomycetota. The record is from RNAcentral.
GCCGUCCUAGCUCAGUCGGUAGAGCAGCGGAUUUGUAAUCCGCCGGUCACGGGUUCGAUUCCUGUGGGCGGCU